Long non-coding RNA from Brachypodium distachyon (stiff brome), 1610 nucleotides. RefSeq lists it as uncharacterized. The record is from RefSeq and is a predicted model, not a curated record. Lineage: Eukaryota; Viridiplantae; Streptophyta; Magnoliopsida; Poales; Poaceae. The transcript is spliced from 2 exons.
GGACUCUCUGCCUUCCAUCCGGAUUUCUCCAUGUAGCCUAAACACGUCGCCGCCACCCGUUUCGCCUUGAUUCGGGCCUCCAAUGGAUCAGACGGGACUCCCAGCUCUGCCGGACGAGACGACGCGCUCGCCGACAUCCUCCGUCGCCUCCCACCGCGCGAUCUCGCCGCCUCCCGCUGCGUCCGCAAGGCAUGGCGCGCCGUCGUCGACGACAACCGGCUCCUGCUCCCGCGCACUCGCUGCACGGCCUCUUCAUCAACUACAUCGACUGCAGGCGCCCGCACUUUUAAGCCCGCCCCUCCGGCAAGCGGCCUGCGAUCAACGGCAAUUUCCUGCCCGGUGACCCGUACGAUUUCGACCCAGUCGUGGAUCACUGCAACGGCCUCGUGCUUUACGGCGCAUUCCGGGCGUUCUGUGUGGCCAACCCUGCCACGAGACGGUGGGACAAUCUUCCCCGCCGCCGCGACGAUAGUAUGAACUGCCACGCCUGCCUUGUGUUUGACCCUGCCGUCUCACCGCCCUACGAGGUGUUCUCGGUCCCAGACUUGCCUCAGGAGACAGGAAGCUGCAGGUGUUCACGUCCAGCACAAGGCGAGAGAGGUCGUUUGUGCGCCAAGGCGAGGCUGCAGAGACAGUGAAAUUUUUUCAACCAGAUGCAUUGGAGCCAUAUGUGGGUCGCGGGGGCCCGAGGUGGCGCUACAGUGUGUACUGGCAAGGAUCACUCUACGUGCAUUGCCGUGGUUCAUUUGUCGCGAGGUUAUCUUUGCCGGAUGCUAAGUACCAAGUACCUAGGGGCUAGGGAGUAAUACAAAGCCCAAUAGAUAUUGCGGAAAGUAAACUACACUCGCAGUACCUAGGGAAAUCAGAAAAAGGGGUCUGCUUUGCAACGAUUCAUGACAGUUAUCAACUUCGGGUCUGGACCCUCGAUGAAUCAAGCGGACAGAUGGAUUGGGUGUUGAGGCAUCAUAUUGAUCUGAAGCCAUGGGCAACCUUAUAUUGGUCGGGAGACCUGAUGGGAUUUGACAAAACCUGGAUAUCUUAGAUGAAGGUGAUGAUUACCAUUAUGACGAGGAUGAGGAUGAUGAUGAAGGAGAAGAUGAAAAAGGAGAUGGUGAUGAAGAUCAAUAUACUGGAAUGCUCAUGAGGGAGAAUUUUGGAUGGAACUCUGAUGAUGAACAGUAUUCUGAAUAUUAAAGAUGGUUGUCGAAAUAUCGACGACGACUUCUACUUCCUUGGGUUUCACUCCUACAAAGAGGUAGUUUUCUUGGAGUUACCGUGGUUUGAAGAAGUUGCUUAUCAUUUAAAUAGCUCAAAAGUUCAGUACCGUGGCAAAUUGCGCCCAAAAGACUAUGUUAUACGACCUACAAAUGGCAUAUACGAAUCAUUUCCAUACACCCCUUGCAUGAUUGGGGAGCUUUCAAAUAGCGCCUCUUCUCGGAGAUUAGGCUCUUUGGGCGGCGAACAAUUUAAGGAAUGGUACGCUGAUGUUUAGGUCCUUGUUUUUAUUUAGGAAUAUCAAAUUUUCAAACAACUCCUGAUCAUUUUGUACAAUUUGAUCAUCUUAAGAUUUAGUCCGUGUUGUGGCUAUCAUUCGCUUAUUAUUUUGAUUA